This 539-nucleotide ribosomal RNA is filed under the name Triticum aestivum (bread wheat). RNAcentral describes it as "partial small subunit ribosomal RNA". The record is from RNAcentral. Lineage: Eukaryota; Viridiplantae; Streptophyta; Magnoliopsida; Poales; Poaceae.
CUCCGCGCCGUGCAGCGCCCCAGGCCACGGCCUCCGCCUGGCCGUGUGCCAUGCCGCACCGCGUGCCCGUCCGCCGCCCGCGGCGCACCAGCAUCUUCUAGCGCUACGGCAGCACGAAUGCGUGCGGCAGUGCCCUCCCAUCGGCAGCGAAUGGUGGUGCGUAGCACGGCGGCGUGAGCCAAGACGAAUCCUUCGAUUCGUAACCGCACAUGGAAAUUGGAAGAGCGGCCAUGGAGCCUUAUCCCUUCGCGAUUAUACACUUCACCCAUGUGGCUUUACCUAUUUUCAUAAUAGGCUUGCGUGUAUAAAUCUUGGAGUAAUUCCUGUAUGUCUCAGGAUAACUUAACAUGGUUCAACUACUCGUGCUAUUCAUUAGCACUUGUCAUCUUUAUUAGACCAUGUAUGUAUAGAUAUGCAUUUCAACCCAUUUUCUGUUGAGUUUUACAAUUCCAGAAAUAUGUGUAUAUUUAUAUUUGACAUGUUCAAUGUGUUUACCACAUUCUCUAGAACAUGUUUUUCGCGAUUGAGAUUAAAUUUUC